This 301-nucleotide ribosomal RNA is filed under the name uncultured bacterium. Its description in RNAcentral is "partial 16S ribosomal RNA". It matches the Rfam family "Bacterial small subunit ribosomal RNA", at positions 509 to 807 of the family's 1533-position model. The record is from RNAcentral.
CAGUAGCCGCGGUAAUACGAAGGGUGCAAGCGUUAAUCGGAAUUACUGGGCGUAAAGCGUGCGUAGGCGGUUUGUUAAGUCUGCUGUGAAAUCCCCGGGCUCAACCUGGGAAUGGCAGUGGAUACUGGCAAGCUAGAGUGUGUCAGAGGAUGGUGGAAUUCCCGGUGUAGCGGUGAAAUGCGUAGAGAUCGGGAGGAACAUCAGUGGCGAAGGCGGCCAUCUGGGACAACACUGACGCUGAGGCACGAAAGCGUGGGGAGCAAACAGGGUUAGAUACCCGUGUAGUCCCUGUCUCUUAUAC